GUUUCAUCGAUUGGCAUUGCCGGCAUCGUCCGGAGGAGAGUGUGAGCGGGGUCCGUGAACUCUGCGCCGACGGCGCAUCCCGGUUUUCAUGGUCAUGGGUAAGAGGGCGGUUUCCCUCGACGGAGGGAGGCCGAGAGUCGCGUCCUUUGCCUCGCGCGACUCGCGAUCUGGGACAAUUGUCGUAAUAGUAUCACUGAUAUCGUUAUUCUCGUCAUUCCUUCUCUCCCCUCUGAAGCCUCACAUUCAAAUCGAACGAAAUGUUUUAGCGUUCUAGUCGGAAACACGCAUUCAAUACGAAUUUGAAUUUCAAUGCCGAGCUGAAAUGAUGUUCCAUUCACGGUUCUGAUGUUAUAAUACGCUUUCUAUCCGUUUAAUUACGAAUGGACACGAAAUGAACUGAAGGAGAAAUAAGGCCGUCACUAUCCGUAUGCGAGUCCCGCAACUCUCAGGAAAACGAAGGUAUUGUCCGGCUGACGUGGCGAGAUGUAAUAGAAUAUCUUGGGUCUUGGGUGUAUGACGGGUGGGCUCGCGAGACAGAAACGGUCUCGCGAUCUGGGAGACGCUAAUCGCGAGCAAGCCGAGCCGGGUAAAUGCAAUUGUCGAGCAUGGAAGCGCGCGAUUCGCGACGGCGGAGUUGCGCUUAUACAGAAGCCUAGGUCUCCUCGUUCGCCUUGAAACGCUCGGGACAUGAUAAAAUGCAAAUGAAACGCCCGACACAGCGUUUCUCCCUUAGGAAAACGCAAAACGUGGGGAAAUUGCCAUAAUCGAAUUCGACAAAUAAAGAGUAAAUCCGUAAUUUCUAACUGCGAGUUUUCUUGAAAUUAAGAAAAUGUGAUAUAUUAACGUGAGGAUUAUAUGAUUGAAAAUUGCAAUGUAUCUAAUAUCUACUAAUCGUAAAGUUAAAAUAAGGUAAUUAAUGUUUAACUAUAUUUCCAGAAAUUAUUCUAUGAGCGUAAAAGGUCAGCGCCGAAUGUGCGAUGCAUAAGCACAGAAAACGAGUACUGGACACUACUGGACCGACGACGACGACGACAACGAUGAGAGGAAGACGCAUAUGCACGCUCCGCGUGCGUUGUAUGCAUCUGUCAAAACCACGCCCUUAUCCCCAUCCUGUUGCCUCGCGCUAUUCGCCUGUAUACGAAGGAGGAGCAAGGAAGUUAUCCGACAGGCUUUCCACGAUUGAAACAAUCUGCCUCCCUUCGAGAGAGCGAUCGAAUUUAAUUACCGUUAGCAGCUCUAAUUGGACAUGUUAAAGACUAAAUUACAUUUUGAAAAUAAUUCUUUGAACAAAUAGGAAUAUACGGCGAAAUGCAAAAAAUGACAGUAAAGAUAACACGAUAAAGAAAAAUAUCGAGACGUGUCCUAUGAUAACAUAUAUGAAGCGAACGAAACAGGGAGCGAUCGAUGAAUAAGUUUUAAUACGCUGUCUAAUUUUACGUUUGACACAUUUGCGUUUCCAUAAACACACAUUUGUGGAAAGUAGUAUCCUUAGAAUUAAUCCUGAUCGCUCUUUCGGAGCGUUUCAAAUUGGUCUGAUCAAAAACGCUAUGAAUUCGUACGAUACAGUCCACUAAUUAAUUCGGGCUCAUUAAUUCACGUUCGUUAAUCUUAUCCUUAUGCAUAUGUAUAAUUGCAGCGAGAUAUAAUACGGUACGUAUAAGGUAUCACCCAAGUAACAAGUAUAUAUAAAAAAUCCUUGUCGGUGAGCGACAAAAGGUCUAGUUCCCACGUUUUAAUAAUAGGCAUUUUAUGGCGUUGUAAUUUUAGGGAAAUAUACGGUAAUGGGUAUCGUAAUGAUAUAAAGCAGUUACGAUGGAACGAUCAUUAUUAUAACGGUAAAUCACUCAUUCCCGGUUCGUCCGAUUCUCCGUCAUAUUCCACGAAGAACAUUAUUAAUCCGUGAUGCCAUCGUUCAAUUAUGUGGAGACGAAGGAAUAAAAAUCAUUCUUUUCUCCUAGAAAGUAAGACGCCUUUCGACCACACCCCGGGUCCAUUUUCGAUCGCGUCGAAAGACCGAUCGAUAUCUCGGUGCUCGGUGGCCCGGCCGGUGGAGACACGUAAUUUCGUGAGCGACAAUGAAGAAAUUUAACUUCCCACGCUGCAGACAAAAUGGAAUUGACGCCGAAAUCUCGCCUUUUGAUUAUCGUGAACAAACAUAAACGGCUCAAUGCUGCGUGUUUAUAUCGAAGCGUGAGCUCGAUGAUAAUUGUAACGAAGUCUGUGGGCGCUGUUACGAAGGCCACACCGUUACCGAGAUAAGUUAACACGCGUGUUAAAGCUAUAUCAAACGAGAAUCGUAUGCCGGGGAAUCGUGAUAACGCCGACUUAUAAGGCGGUCGCAACCAUCGUCUCACAAGAACGAAACCUUAUUUCUAGACCACUAUCUUUGGACGAACUUUGGACAAAGAUCACUAGUUAGCUUCACCAAUUCGGGACUCUCAGCUGGGAUACUUCGCAAGUGAAGAACCGAUCGCCGAACGAAUUACGCCGAUCCUACGCGAAAGAAAGCAUCAUUGAACACAAAGUAUCACGGCUCGACCGUAGAGAUUCUCACGGCAGUCUGGGGUCAAUCCUUUUUCACUUCCGCAAAUUAAUAUGCGAAAAAAAAAAAACAAGAGGCGAUGAAAGGAGGAAGAAGACGCUCGCUGUCCGUGAAUCUCUUUGGAAAGCCGGGCGAGUAACUUCUUUUAAAAUACACAGGAAUCGAGGAGAUGUUCGAAAUCGUCUUUGGAGGAUGUUUAGAGUUUACUGUUCGGGCCGAUUCAUUCGGAGGGCUCGCCUUUAAUCCGCCAUUGGACGCACAUCGCUGUGGGGAAACCGUGGCAAAGGGUGCACUGACCUGUCAGUUGACGCGUGCGAGUUUCUAGGGCGCAGGCAGGCGCGUACACUGUCGAACAGCAGGCGAACGUUGCUCAAAGGCAGGAACGAGACGGUACACGGUACACUGACUGACCGGUUAGCGCUUCUGCGGCACGUAACACCAGGUAACAGCGUCGAGCAGCGCCCAUCAUUCAUCCCCCUCUACCCGAGGUCUCCCUCCUCAGGGCGACAGGCCCCUCUCGCCAGGAUCGGCGCAGAAAAGGAUUCGAUGGAGUAUCCGUAGAGCCUCUGACAAUACCGAUAACACGCUCUGAAAUAAUUGGAUAGUUUAUAGUUAAUAACGUAAAUAAUUAAUUAUAAUAGAGCAUCACACAAAGGGAAAUCUUUUAGUUUAGUUUUAUUAUAUGUAUUCGCAAUAAACGAGAAAUGAAACAA
This is a long non-coding RNA of Temnothorax curvispinosus, 3255 nucleotides long. RefSeq lists it as uncharacterized. The transcript is spliced from 2 exons. NCBI's taxonomy places the organism in Eukaryota, Metazoa, Arthropoda, Insecta, Hymenoptera, Formicidae. The record is from RefSeq and is a predicted model, not a curated record.